GCUCUCAACCCUAAUCGCUUGAAUUCAAUAUCUCUUUUUCUCCCUAUCAAUUUUCAAUCUUCUGCAUUAAUCGAUUCGACCGGUAUCAGCUUCGUGUUUGGUGUUGAUGUUUUGAGCCAAAUUUUUUUCUUAUUCGUUGCGACGUUGACAGUAAUGUUAACGAUGUUCUUGAAAUUUAAACCCUAGAAAUGUUGAUUUGAAUUGGUGCAAAAAAAAGAAAAAGAUGAUCGCAUAGUCACAAGAAAGAGAGAGAUGGGGAUACAAAAUAAAAUAUAAAGCUUUCCGUUCCCGUUCCUUUUCUUGAAAUUCAACCAAGAAAGCCCGAUCUCUAUGAAUCUUGGUCUUUGGAACCCUAGAAUUCUAAUUUGAAUUGGUGCCGUAAAAAGAUGACAACGAAGUCACAGACUGUUAUUUUGAUUCAAGUUUCUGCUGUCCAUGAUUUGCUUCAUUCGAAAAAAAAGAUAUAAAUCUCUCUCUAUUUCAUUUUCAACCCAUUAUCCUUUGGUUAAACUUUCUCUGUCUCCAAAACUGUGUUUGACACAAAUGUUUUUAGGUUUUUGUUUGCAACAUUAACGCAUUAUAAUUGAUUAUCUUGAUGAUUCUUGAUUAUUCUUGACCGAGAAGGUUAAUAAAAAUUGAAAAUUUGCAAUAUGUACCCUUAAGACAAGUCGGUCACUAUGCUUGGAUGAUCUCAAAUUUAACUAUGAGAUAACUCUUGACUUAGAUGUGGCCUUCAAUGUGAAUUUUUUAUUUAUAUGAAAUGAAUUUGAGAUAGUAUGUUUACGAGAUGAAUUCUUGACCCAAAAUGUGGUUUGCAAUAUGAAUUUUUUAUUCAUAGGAAAUUGCCAUAAUAUUUUUUGGAUGACCCGAAAAUUAACUAUGAGAUAGAUAUUUUACCGUAAAUGUGGCUUUCAAUAUGAAUUUUUUAUUCAUAUGAAAAGAGAUUGGGAAUUCAAGAUAGUAUGGUUGGAUUAUUUGGAAUUUAAUCACGCGAUAAUUAUUGUCCCAAAAUGUGGCUUGCAAUAUGAAUUUUUUAUUCAUAUGAAAUGAAAUUGAGAUAGUAUGAUUAGAAGACCCGAAAUUUAAUUACAAGAUGAACUCUUGACCCAAAAUGUAGCUUGCGAUAUGCAUUUUUUACCUGCAUGAAAAUAAAUUGAGGUAAUAUUUUUGGAUGAUUUGAAAUUUAAUUACGAGAUAGAUUCUUGACCCUAAAUGUGACCUUCAAUAUGAGUUUUUUUAUUAAUAUGAAUUUGAGAUAAUAUUUUUGGAUGAUUUGAAAUUUAAUUACGAGAUAGAUUCUUGACCCUAAAUGUGACCUUCAAUAUGAGUUUUUUUAUUAAUAUGAAUUUGAGAUAAUAUUUUUGGAUGAUUUGAAAUUUAAUUACGAGAUAGAUUCUUGACCCUAAAUGUGACCUUCAAUAUGAGUUUUUUUAUUAAUAUGAAUUUGAGAUAAUAUUUUUGGAUGAUUUGAAAUUUAAUUACGAGAUAGAUUCUUGACCCUAAAUGUGACCUUCAAUAUGAGUUUUUUUAUUAAUAUGAAUUUGAGAUAAUAUUUUUGGAUGAUCCGAAGUUUAAUUAUGAGAUAGAUUCUUAACCAUAAAUGUGGUCUUCAAUAUGAAUUUUUUAUUCAUAUGAAAUGAAAUUGAAAAUUUGAGAUAGUAUGAUUGGAUGACCCGAAGUUUAAUUACGAGAUGAAUUCUUGAUCCAAAAUGUGGGUUGCAAUGUAAUUUUUUUUUUCAUAUGAAAUGAAAUUGGGAUAGUAUGAUUGGAAAACCUGAUAUUUAAUUACAAGAUGAAUUUUUGACCCUACAUGUGUCUUGCCAUACGAAUUUUUUAUUCAUAUGAAAUUGGAUCUUGACCCUACAUGUGGCCUUCAAUAUGAAUUUUUUAUUCAUAUGAAAUUGGAAUUGGAUGGAUAGUAUUAUGCCUCGAUGAUCUUAGACACAAAUUUAAUAUUUGAGUCUAUAUGACCUUAAAUUCAAUAAAAAUAUUGUGCCUCAAUGACUUUGGGUGGCGUGAUGAAAUUGGGUGGUCAUGUUGAAGCGACAUCUUGCAAUGCCUUGUUGACGGGCUCCGAAGGCAAAGAGACAUUCAAAAGAUAAUUAAACUGUUGGGAGAUAUGGAGGAAACGGAAAUAGGAUCCAGUGUUAUAACCUUUGCAAUUAUUAUUAAUCACAUAUGCAAGGCUAGGAGGAUCAAUGAGGCUUUGGGGGUAUUUGAUAAAUUGAGAGGUAAAGGAGAAAUAAAUAGAUUGGUGUGGGACCUGAUGUGGUCUUGUAUAAUACUUUGAUUGACAAACUUAGUAAAGUUGGGAGGGAAGAAGAUGGUUUGCGUUUGCUGGCAGAGAGGAAAACUGAGAAGAAAAAUAGGCCAAAUACUGUUCCAUAUAAUUGCUUGAUUGAUGGGUUCUGCAAAGCUGAAAGGAAAUGCUGUUACUUAUACUGUGCUGAUAUAUGAAUUCUGUGGUGUGAACAAUAUUGAUAAAGCCAUGCAAUAUUUUGAUGAGAUGUUGAGUUUUGACCGGAUGCAAUUGUUUACAUGCAGUUUGAUAUCUGGCUUAAGCAUUGCUGUAAGGAUAGGUGAUGCCAGUGUUGUUAUGUCACAGUUGAAACGGGUUGGGUUCAGUCUUGAUAGCAUUUGCUACUAUGUUCUCAUAAGUGUGUUAUGUAAGAAGAAUGCUUAACCAAAUGGAAGAAACUGGGGUUAAUCCCCAUACUGUCACAUAUAACACUUUGGUUUGUUACCUUGGCAAAGCUGGAGAUUUUGCAACUGCUAGUAAGGUGAUGAAAAAGAUGAUGAAAGAGGGUCUUAAGCCCUCUGUUGUCACAUAUGAGGCAGUUAUACAUUCAUUCAUAUUGUUUAAAGAAGAAUGUUGAUGAGGCCAUGAAGUCACUCUGUUAGUAGUAGGAUUGAGCUAUAAGUUAAAUGCUUAGCUUUUAAUUGUCUAAGCUCCAAACUUUCGUACUCUUUUGAGCUCAUUUUCAAACCACAUUAUUUUAGAAAUAUGUUGUUGAAUCACAUUACUUUAUUUGGUUAUUAGAUUCAAUAAUUGUUUGAACUUUGAAGGGGUUGCUCAUGAACUUUCUAUUAGGAUAUUAUGACACUUUUUUUCUUUCUGAUGAAAAAAUUGAACUAUCUAGGAAACAGAGGACAAGAUAGUGGGCCAAUUGAGGAAGGCAGCAGAAUGGAUAGUGUGACCCUAACAAUUAAAAAUUGAAAUUUGCACAGAUCACGUAGCGUGUGGAAGAAGGGAUAUGUGCAAGUUGUGAAGUCUUGAUGUUUGUUAUUGUUAAUAAAUAUUGUUAUAUAGGUGUUUUGCAAUUGGAAUUGUGGUCCUUUGUAACAAUCAAUCUAAAGUUGCAAAUUCUGUCACUUAAAUUUCAGAUGCAUAUUCAGUUUUUUUUCAAUGUUUUUUUGCUAGCUUUUGUAUUUUGUUUUAUUUUACCCUUGUGUGCUCAAUUGUCUCCUUGGUAUAGGUUCAUGAUGUAUUUUAUAACAGAUCCAAGGGUUCUAAUUAUAGGCAUACAACAAUAGCAAGACCUCUAUGGUUACAAAAAGCAUUUAUAGGAGUUCUAAUUACAUAUUAAUGGUUACCCUGAAUACUGUCUUGGAAUUGAAUUCUGUUAAUUGAGCAAAAUUGGAGUUGAUGAUGAUCAGUGUAGUGUUGUGAACUUAGAGUUUAAGAAUGAAAGACUACUGAGACAAAUUCAUCCAAGGAAUGACUGGUCAGUAUUCUUUAUAAUCAACCCUAACUUUCUAUAUAACAUUCUUUAUAUGAAUGAGUUGUUACAUAAAUAUAUAUUGUUACUUUUAGUAAAAUGGUCUUAAUUUAAAUCAGUGUUUAUCAUACUCUAUUAGCCUGUUAUCACACUGACUUCCGAAAUAUUAUGAGUUAUGCGUAGACUAAUAUAUGCAUUUCGGCUUCAUCAAACCAAACUGUCACCAAAUCUGUAUGCCUUAAAAUUGAUAAAAACGGCUACCCAAUAUUUCUUGAUCUGAUCUACAUAGUCUCAGAGCAUAAAAUUGUGAACUGCCACCUACCUUUGGUUUGUGACUUUUAUUCAAUAUUUGUUGAAAGAAUGGGGAAAACAUCUGUCCAGGUAUUGUUUGUAGAGGUAAAUACCUAUUGUCAUUUUAUAUUUUGUUCUAAUUAAUGACGUGGAAGAUGAUUGGGAUAUUGUUUGCAUUUUAUAUACGAAAUAAUGGUUGAAACAUUCCCUAUGCAUCUUAUGCUAUAAAGCAUGGAGUACUUCUAAAAUGGUGAAGUACCCAUACUGGGUGCUUACCCGGUACUGGUACUCGUACCAUAUUUGUGGGUAUUCUGUUUUUAUUUAUUUUAUUUUGAGUGAAAUUCAUGAUUUUGUUAUAUAGUAAUAUAAUAUUAUUUGUUUAUUUGAGUUUAUUUGUUAUUGUAAUCGAACACAAUUUGUGAUUUUUUAGAUAUUUAUUUUGAUUUUGUAUUGUGAAUUGAACAAUUUAACUCUCUAAGUUAAAUUAUAUAAAAAAAUUAAUGUUUUUCAUUGAUGUAUCCAUACCUUAAUUAAAAAAAAAAAUACUAUAUCAUGUACUCGUACUAGUACCGUACCUAAGCGUCAUAGAUCUUAUGCUGAUACGAUUUUCAUGCCACUGUAUUGAUGUUACCAUAUAUUUCCUCUGAUUAUGAUAUCAUUGUGCAAACGUAUCAGUCUGUGAAUAAUUAAAAAAAAAAAAAGACCAUAUCACGUACUCGUACUAGUACCGUACCUAUGCGUCUUAGAUCUUAUGUUGAUACGAUUUUCAUGCCACUGUAUUGAUGUUACCAUAUAUUUCCUCUGAUUAUGAUAUCAUUGUGCAAACAUAUCGGUCUGUGAACAUGAGUUUGAAGUAGAGGUUGUGUCGUUGGGUUGGGCUAUAUGCUCACUAAGCUUGAUUCUGAUUUGCAACGGAAGAUUAGGUGCACAGGCUUGAAGUGUGGUAAUGAGUUUAUAACUUUGAUGGCACAUAAAUUUGAAAUAGUUAUUGACGAUCAAGCUGGAAAACAGUUCAAAUGUAGGAUCAGUUGAGGAAGCCGAAAUGAUAAAUCAAUGGAUUGAUUGAUUUAUUUAGGGAUUUGAUAUAUGAAUACUUGAUUUGCUCGACAUUGUAAAGACAUCCACAACUGAUCUCUAUGAAUCUAGAAUUCUGAUUUGAAUUGGUGCCAUAAAAAGAUGGCAACGAAGUUACAGACUUUGUUGUUUCUGAUUUAUUGAUUCCGUUCUUCUAUUGAGCGAACAUUCUCUGUCUCCAAAACUGUGUUUGACACAAAUGUUUUGGGGGUAGGUUUUUGUUUGCAAUAGCAUUAUAAUUGAUUAUCCAAGAAUGUAUAAUCUUGACGAUUCUUGGUUAUUCUUGAUUGAGAAGGUUAAUAAAAAUUGAAAAGUCGCUAUGCUUGGAUGAUCUCAAAUUUAA
Cicer arietinum (chickpea) is the source of this 5427-nucleotide non-coding RNA. Lineage: Eukaryota; Viridiplantae; Streptophyta; Magnoliopsida; Fabales; Fabaceae. The record is from RefSeq and is a predicted model, not a curated record.